UGAAUACCUUCCCUCUCUCAAACUCUCUCAAAGUUCCUGAAACCCUAAUCGUCUUCUACCAUUUUCGACCACAAACUCGCCGGAAUCCAUGGCCUCUUAUGUCAUGGAUAGCCUAUAUUCAUCUCCCUCCACUCUUCAAAGCUUGGAGCUCGAAGUUCGUGGUCUGACCUCGAUGGUGUCGUUCGUAUCUUCUCCGAUUCAAGGUUCCAUGGCCCCUCCGACUUUGCUCCGGCGUAUCCAAGGCAUUUUGAGCCUGGUUCUGACUUAUCCGACUCAGAUCGGACUUUUUCCAAGCCUUUCUCGCAUCAGGGUUCCUCUGAAACACUAGUUACUCGAGGUUUUCUCUGGAUUUUCUUAGAUUUUCUAUAUAUCUG
RNAcentral lists this long non-coding RNA (374 nucleotides) under Nicotiana benthamiana. RNAcentral describes it as "long non-coding RNA (NBEN_LNC026980)". The record is from RNAcentral. Lineage: Eukaryota; Viridiplantae; Streptophyta; Magnoliopsida; Solanales; Solanaceae.